CAGAACGAACGCUGGCGGCGCGUUUUAAGCAUGCAAGUCGAACGGGAUCCAGAAGCUUGCUUCUGGUGAGAGUGGCGAACGGGUGAGUAACACGUAGAUAAUCUGCCUUGAAGUUGGGGAUAGCUCAUGGAAACAUGGGGUAAUACCGAAUAAUCUCAUUUCUGUAUUGGGAAUGAAGAAAGGGGCUAAGGCCUCGACUUUAGGAUGAGUCUGCGGUUCAUUAGCUUGUUGGUGGGGUAAAGGCCUACCAAGGCGACGAUGAAUAGCCGGCCUGAGAGGGUGACCGGCCACACUGGAACUGAGACACGGUCCAGACUCCUACGGGAGGCAGCAGCUAAGAAUCUUCCGCAAUGGGCGAAAGCCUGACGGAGCGACGCCGCGUGUAUGAUGAAGGCCGUGAGGUUGUAAAGUACUUUUCCUUGUUGAAGAAUAAUGCCAGGAGGGAAUGCCUGGCAGAUGACGUUAGACACGANGAAUAAAGCAACGGCUAAUUACNUGCCAGCAGCCGCGGUAACACGUAUGUNGCAGCGUUGUGCNGAUUUAUUGGGCG
This 550-nucleotide ribosomal RNA is filed under the name uncultured Spirochaetota bacterium. RNAcentral describes it as "bacterial SSU rRNA". It matches the Rfam family "Bacterial small subunit ribosomal RNA", at positions 25 to 560 of the family's 1533-position model. The record is from RNAcentral. Lineage: Bacteria; Pseudomonadati; Spirochaetota.